This 7304-nucleotide long non-coding RNA is filed under the name Triticum aestivum (bread wheat). Its description in RNAcentral is "long non-coding RNA (TAES_LNC001652)". Lineage: Eukaryota; Viridiplantae; Streptophyta; Magnoliopsida; Poales; Poaceae. The record is from RNAcentral.
GUUCUUGCCUUGUCUUCUGCUUGUUUGGAUGCUAUGUAUUUGGUUGUCUUGCAAGUACAUUCAAUGUACUGACCUGGCGUGUCAUGCCAGUUUUGUAGGUCAUACCCGAAGUGUUCGCUUGACCCGUCGUGCUAGGCUGUAACCUUGCCAGUCUUGUGAGUUGUGGAGCCCAGCCAGAGUUGUUAUGCUGCCAAACCAAGACUUCCGCCGCCAUUUAAAUAGAUUUCCACAGCCAUUUAAAUGGCCUUAGGGCUAUGCCAGAUAAUUGUAUUCAUCAACGAUGUAAUCUUCUAUACAUGUAUUUGAUGAAUAUUCUUGUACCUGGAAUGCUGUAUUAUGGACCUGUCGUGCGUCAGGUGUUAUCCUGGGCUGACGUACGAAGGCCCCCUGCUCCAUGCGGAUCGGGGUGCCACUGGACAUGGUAUCAGAGCAGCCAGGCUGGCAUAGGUUAUCCUAGUAUUAGAUCACCGCUCCCAUUAAACCGUAAUAACCCUAAGGGAUUUGACCCAUCCCUGGUAUCCGGUAUGGCCACUAUUAAUCCACAGAUGGCGCAGUCGGGACCGACACGUCCUCACCCCGCUGUCCUUGCCUAGUUAUCUAUGGAACGAAUAGCAACCAUAUCAUUUCUGGUCAGCCGCACUGCUUACCCUUCGCCAUUAAGGGAAAGGGGCCACACCAUGCGGUCAUGUCCCGCAUAGCUGCCUAUAAAAGCCCCCUUUUCUGCUAGCCAUAUCACUCACUCCUCAUUCAGUCAUGUCCCUGCAAAGAAGCCUAGCUAGUAACACUCCAGCCAUGGCUAGCACCCUUAAAACUACCAAGUUUCUCACCCGCACAAGUGCCGUCAACCAUACUGGCUUUCCACCCAUUCUUGCUGAGAUGCUCGCCAAAGCCUUUGGCUAUAAUGCUAGCCCCGAUUACCUGGUGUUCCAAUCGACACUCGUUCCUCACCUUCAUCAGUAUGAUGCAAGAGUGCACAUCGGCCCAGGUCCCGCAGUAGAUGGCCAGCCGUUGGUUUUUCAGGGUAGAGCCAUGCCUACCACUAAUUUGGCCAUUCGGCCGCUGCUGUGGAGGCUAUCCGAUACCUCCGAACCAAGUUCCCGCAAGUGGCAGAUCGAAGGGAGUUCUGCUUCUUCCCCAUGGUGACAGAGUCAGGAAUUCAGCCUUCUCCCACUAUUCAAGGAGAUGACCCCGCAAUCGCUCGCCUGGUGCAAUAUAUCACUGCCCAGGGGAUGAUGAUUUCAAAGAUGUUGGCCAAAUUCAGAACCUUGGACAACGAUUUUGUACGAGUUGUCAAGGAAGCUUAUCGUGAGGCUCGUAAAUUCACAUAUCAAGCUUUUCACCCAACGCCAUCUGAGCCAGUGCUACCCUCUCAGCCUGUGUUGUGGCCUCGGCCAAACAUCAUCACCCUCGACAAGACUCUUUUCUGGAUCCAUUAGCAACAUAUGCUUGGAUAAAUUUCAACCACACCCCCAGUACCUGAACCCCAACCCAUAGUGAUAUCGGAUGAUGAAGAUGGAGAUUGGCUCAGUCUUCGUCCUCCCGGAGAACCCCAGCAAAGCAAGCCCUCAGCUUGAUCUCAGCCAUGCAAUCAGUUGUUUCUGCAAGUAGGUCAGGCUGUCAGUUCAUCCCUGAUAUGAGGAUAGAACCAUGUAUCCCGGAGUGAGUAGUUUCAUUUAGCGCGUAGCGCAUUCGUGCUUUGUCAUAUGCUUGCACUGUUGUAACUCGUAUGAUGUGUUUAUGUAUGCUUUCUUGCUUUUGAUUUUUGUGUUUGUUUGUCUCUCUGUGAAGCAAAGAUGUUUGAUAGGGUUGGUAAUGUGUGCUAACAAGAUUUUAAUCAGUAGAACACAUACACUAAAAACCACAUUGGCUCGUCCUGAGUCUUUAAUAAAAUGGCACUGGUGUAGGUAUAUAUAUACUAGGAUUAUAUAUACCCACUAGCAUUAAAACACCUUAGAAUGAUUUGUCUGCUAUGUUUUUCAUUGCAUGUUUAUUGCCUCUGUUUGUUUGCUAAUUUAGAUUAUUCUGCAUACCACACGCAUACCCGGUUCGCCCACGAGUACCUUCGGGCAGUACUUGGGGGAAUGCAAAGUCACAUGUUCCUUUCUAUCUGUGCAUACCCCGUGUGUCGGAUUUUCAAAUCCAGAACCUUGCAGAGGCAUUUCCGUCUGGCAAUUCCUUGUCUCUAAUUCUUUCUCCUGAUUUCAUUACCGGAGGAACACUGUCAACUUUAUUUCAUUCGAUCCAGUACAUCUACCCAAUACAGAUUUCAACUCCGAUUCUACCUUGACACCUACUUUUUGUGGAGCAAUCCAUGAAAUUUUUCCCUCGUACCCCAGUGUGCUUUCUGAGCUGGUACAGCCACCUCGCCUGCACCUGUACCCCAUCCCCACCAUCUUCUAUGCCUUGCAUGGUGCAGGCAAGUCGCCACCCCGCUCCACCGGCGCAGGCGAUUACUCCAUCGGCGCAAAGCGACGGAGGAUCAAGCAUGGCGGAGGACCACGCAGUGCACCAUAUUCUCCCACAUCUCAAGCCACCGCACCCAGUCGCGCGUUGUCUCGAGCCUGAUCAUUCCUGAUGAGUAUCAGCAGGAGGAUCGACGAGCCAAUGAGCGUUCCCAGCAGCGCCGCGAGGAACAACCGCAGCGCCGCCAAGAACAUUUCCUCGCCGAAGGAGCUCGGCUCGAUCUCGUCCAAAUCGAAGAGGUAGUAGAGCGGCAUUGUGUUGGUGUGUUGGAGGAGAGCCGUGCUACCAUCUUUUAUAACCAACCCCGGUGUACAGUGAGCAAGGUCCAGGAGAACCUCUCGUCGCUCGAUCACCAGCCUCCAGGAGGUGAAUCCGUGAGCAGUGCCGACAAGGUGGUGGCCCGUGAUGUGAGUGCUCGUUGCACUAGCUCCGUGCAUGCCGCGCACUACGACACUAGGGUCCUCAUCACCCUAGGAGCUAGAUGUGCGCUACGCCAAGCCGCACACGGAGCAGCAAUGAAGAAGAAGCAGCAAGCUGGAGGUAGAAGAAGGAGGCUGCCAGUGGGCCCUGGACCCACGUGUCAGCAGGUGAAACCACUGUUCAUUAGGUGCAUCCAGCAAUUUUUUAUGGGAGUCUGAUCUCGAGUGCCCCUAGCGGUGGAUACAUCCAGGUUUGCCAUAUCCCUCCCCAGGUGUACCAAUUAUCGGUGCCCCAUCUCGUUUGAAUUUAACCAAAUGGUUAAAAAAAUUAACCCGAGGUUUUUCCCUGGAGUGGUUAUCAUUUCAGCUGUGCUGUAACCCUAGAAAUCUCGAGGAAGAGAUUCUUUUUAAGGGGGGCAGAGUUGUAACAGCCCCAAAAUUGGGUUAUCAAUUUUUGUUCUGUUAUUCCUUCCUGGCACUCAUUCUUCAAAAAAAUUCCCCUGAGUUUGCUGGAUGACUCUGACAAUUCUUGUCAUUUUCAACCUUUCAAAACCUUGCUCAUGUCUUUGUCAGUGGGCAAGACCUCAUUUGCAUCAUCUCAAACUCUCUCAAACCCUAAUUCCAAAUUUUUGGAAUUUGGAUAUGUCCUUUAUGCUUCCAAAGGAGCCAUCAUUUCCCUUGUUUUGUUGAUCCUCCCAAUUGUUUCCAGAGAUCCUCUUGUCUUUCUGAACCUUGGAUGUGCAAAAAUAUUGCUAAGUCUCAUGCAAUAUUUUUGAAUUGUGAUUUAUUCCUUUUCUUGCCUUUCUGAGGAAUAAAAUCCAGAGGCAUAGCUAGCCAUCUCCUAAAUUCAUGAGAAUUGGUGGAGUUGAUACUUAUGCCUAAUCCAAGCUCUGGCAAAUAUAUUGGCGAUAAUUAAAUAAGGAACAUUGCCUUUUCCUAUUUAAUGCCAAUAUUGCAUUUAUGCCAUUUUCCAAAGGAACUACUAUUUUUAUAGCAGAAAAAAUUCCCACAUAAAUCGUGGAGCUUUUACUUGCUAUAUAUUAACUAGUUCCAUCCUAAUCUUAUGAUUUGACAGUCCAAAAUUGGGCACAUGAUCCAAUGCAAGUUUCUGCCUUCUCUGAAAUUUUGCAAAGGAAGUGCUUUAUUCCUAAUUCCAAUGGAUCUACAAUUUGGUAGGGUGAUUAACAUGGUUAAGUAACCCAUGGAUGAAAAAUAUGAGCUCAAUCCAUUCAGCCUACCUCCCUGUGUAGUUUUUUCAAAGUUUCUAACCAGAACACAACUUUGUGAAGGAAGUACCUUCAUAGAGUUUCCAAAUGGGAUGAAACUUUCCAAUCCUCUCAAGUAUCUCAAAUAAUUAGCCUCCACCUAAAUUCAGUUCAUUUCAUUGAACUACGUGAGCACAGGAGCAAUUCUUGGUUUCUGUCCAAUUUUUUAGUUUGUGAAGCAGGUAUAUUUUAUCUUGCUCCAUUAUGGCUGAAACUUUUUCCGGAACUUCUCCUUUACAUGCGAUCCAUCUCCACAAAAUUUUGGAUCAUUUCAAUUAGCCAUUUGCCCUGAGGAUUUUUCUGAAGUUUCUGGGAAAAACUGAUAGUUGUGAAGAUAGUACCAUUUUGGCAACUCCAUUUGGUAUGAUAUUUUUGCAGCAUCUACAUAUGAUCAAAUCAUCAAGCUUUGCAAAGUAUUAGCUCAAUCCAUCACUCCUAGUGAGUGCUUAUUCCUCAUUUAGUUUCUAGACCAGAUUUGGCAUUUGUACAGCAACUAUGCUAAAUACUUGACCAAAUGACUUCAUAAUUCCCAGGACCGUAUCCUUCCUACCCUAAGACUCUUAGACAAUAAAUUUACCUUUUACCCUCUCUGGUUUACUCUCUAGAGUGUGGCCAAGUUUACAGCAGUAAACUUGUGGAGCUUGGUUUACUCCACUCCCUGUGUCAUUGCUAGUAUCUUUACCGCAAUAGUUCUCUACCUUGGAUGUACAACGCGGUAGACAUGAGCUGGCAUUAGUAAAAAACAGAGCAUGCCUUGUCCAUGGUGACCACGAGUGCAACCAGCCACUGUUCUUGUCGGCAGCGCUGCUCCGACUGGCUCUGGCCUCGCCAUUAAUGUCCUACAAUCCCCCUCGCUGUCGUCUUCCCCCUGGACCGCUCGCCCCCUCUGUUUUCUUCUCCACCGAGCCAUGCCAACGACCGAAAAAGUGCACUCCUGUGCAUCAUCUCCUUCCUCCCCAGUGUCCUCUUCCUCCUUUCGUCUUUGAGCGUCGCCCAUCUCCAUGAGCCUCUGCUGCUCGACUGCAUCCUCCUCGUCGCCUUCCUGUCGCUUCCCGUGAGCCUUGGCCACGCCUGCUGACACUGUCUCGUCGCCGACACGCGAACACAUCGCCCGCUGCGUGCCACCUCCUCCCCCUCCUUCCCAAGCUCUCCCCGCGGCUAUAACUAGCCCUCUCGAGCCCCCUCGCAGUCCACAACCCUCCCCAACCACUCGCAGCUCUCCCCCUCGCCUCGGAGCUCCACAUCCCCUCCAAUGGCUGAGCCAUCGCCGCCAUCCCCUCGGCCAUUUCCGGCCGUCCCCUGCCCCGUCCAAGCCCUCCAUGGGACGCGCCACUCUCCGGCGACCCUUCCCGAACCGCUGCCCCUCCAUUUUCCUCACCGGAGCACCAUGUCCACCCGAGCCUAAAGCCCCUCUCCGCCGCGUGCCUUGCUGCUUCCAUUACAACGCUCAUCGGCGGUAGCGGCUACCACCCCGAGAUGCGUCUCUCCUCCCUGAGCAUCUGGGUAGGUCACCCGUCGCGAGUGGUGGCCGGAAUCGCCGGUGAUCGCCGUCGGGGCGGAUGCCUCCCUCUACCUCGCUCAAUCCCGAGUGGGAGGAGGAAGAAGCCAGGCCAGGGGGCCCUUCCCGCGCGACCCCACCUACCGGCGACCGAAGGGACUGGCCUAGUGCCACGUCAGAUAAGUGGCGGCGCCCCUGCCAUGAAGCCGCUUUCCCCAUGUGAAAGUGUAUUCCUGGAAAGGCGCUUUCAGUCACCGAAAGCGUAUUCUUCCUCUUCUUCGGCGAGAAAUAUGUUUUCCUCUUUGGAAAACGUAUUCUUAGAAAAGACAUGUUCUGUUUAAACUACUAGGGACCUAUUUGUAGAAGUAUUUUUCAAACUAGUCCCUGAGCUUUAAAUGUGGGAAGGCCUUAAUGCGAUCUAUUGUUGUGCCUCUCGCCGGUGCCUCCAAAGAGGGAAGGUCAUGGGCGCGCGCUACCCUGAUCAGGUAGGCGAACAUAACCUUGUGUGCCCGUUGUUGAAAUUAUGGUACCGUGUCCCCGUGUGGGACAUUUAUGUUUUGGCCACGACGGUGGUCGUUGUGUCAUUGGUAGACACGGGGCCACCCAGGACUAGCCCAGUGGGGAGUGAGUCAGAGUGGCCGGGAGAGUGUCAUGGCAGUAGGUCGGUUUCGUCGGAAUGCCGUUGGUCCACCCGAAUGGGGUGACGAGGCCAUGGGUUCCGUGGUGUGGGUACAGUGCGUUACCUCUGCAGAGUGUUUAUAAAGUCUAUCGAUAGUGACAUAGUUCGUAGUAGGCCACACUAUUAGGUCUUGGUCGAAAUGGAGGAUAAACCUAAAAUAAUUAAGUAAAUUAAUGUGAUAACAAGAAUGUGGUGACUUGGACUAUGAGAUAGUCGUGAGAAGUCGCAUCAAUGUUUUGAUAUGAUCACGAGACGAGGUCUCGAUGAGUGUUGGAGACCAAGUGUUGGUCAUGGUUGUGAUCGCCGGAAAGAUCACCAUUUGGUUACAAGGUAAUCCGGAACCGAGUGUGGUUCCAUUUGUGGUCUGUGAGUGAUCACUGUUCGGUUGCGAGGCAACCCAUUGGUAAGAGAGUCCGAGGGACUCAGUGCACAAGCUUGGUUGCAUUGCAUGAGUAAUAUGUUGUUGUCUGCAUGACAAAUAGUAGUUGCAUAUAGUUAACAUGCUAUGUUCGAUAUGACCGGUAGUUUAAAUUCAGCAUAGUUUCAUGAUGCCAUGCCAUGUUUUUAUUGAUAUGCUAAAGUUAUGCCAUGAUGAAGAUGAUAUGUUAUGUUUUGCCAUUACCAUGUUAGAAGCAUGUUUGAUAUGCCAUGUGAUUACCAUGUUAGUAGAUGCUAUGGUGUUGUUCAUGCUUAGUUGAUCUUUAUCAUGCCAUGUUUAGUAAUUGAUAUGAGAUAGGUUGUUGCAUGCACUUGGUUCUUGCCUUGUCUUCUGCUUGUUUGGAUGCUAUGUAUUUGGUUGUCUAGCAAGUACAUUCAAUGUACUGACCUGGCGUGUCAUGCCAGUUUUGUAGGUCAUACCCGAAGUGUUCGCUUGACCCGUCGUGCUAGGCCGUAACCUUGCUAGUCCUGUGAGUUGUGGAGCCCAGCCAGAGUUGUUAUGCUGCCAAACCAAGACUUCCGCCGCCAUUUAAAUAGAUUUC